RNAcentral lists this ribosomal RNA (681 nucleotides) under uncultured archaeon. RNAcentral describes it as "bacterial SSU rRNA". It matches the Rfam family "Archaeal small subunit ribosomal RNA", at positions 320 to 1000 of the family's 1478-position model. The record is from RNAcentral.
GCCCUACGGGGUGCAGCAGGCGCGAAAACUUUACAAUGCUGGAAACAGCGAUAAGGGGACCUCGAGUGCCAGGUUACAAAUCUGGCUGUCGUGAUGCCUAAAAAGCAUUGCAUAGCAAGGGCCGGGCAAGACCGGUGCCAGCCGCCGCGGUAACACCGGCGGCUCGAGUGGUAACCGUUAUUAUUGGGUCUAAAGGGUCUGUAGCCGGCCGGAUAAGUCUCUUGGGAAAUCUGGCAGCUUAACUGUCAGGCUUUCAGGAGAUACUGUCUGGCUCGAGGCCGGGAGAGGUGAGAGGUACUUCAGGGGUAGGGGUGAAAUCUUGUAAUCCUUGAAGGACCACCAGUGGCGAAGGCGUCUCACCAGAACGGACCUGACGGCAAGGGACGAAAGCUAGGGGCACGAACCGGAUUAGAUACCCGGGUAGUCCUAGCCGUAAACGAUACUCGCUAGGUGUCGGCAACGGUGCGACCGUUGUCGGUGCCGUAGGGAAGCCGUGAAGCGAGCCACCUGGGGAAGUACGGCCGCAAGGCUGAAACUUAAAGGAAUUGGCGGGGGAGCACCACAACGGGUGGAGCUUGCGGUUUAAUUGGAUUCAACGCCGGAAAUCUUACCGGGACCGACAGCAAUAUGAAGGCCAGGCUGAAGACUUUGCCGGAUUAGCUGAGAGGUGGUGCAUGGCCG